This 440-nucleotide ribosomal RNA is filed under the name uncultured bacterium. RNAcentral describes it as "partial 16S ribosomal RNA". It matches the Rfam family "Bacterial small subunit ribosomal RNA", at positions 338 to 795 of the family's 1533-position model. The record is from RNAcentral.
CCUACGGGAGGCAGCAGUAGGGAAUAUUGCUCAAUGGGGGAAACCCUGAAGCAGCAACGCCGCGUGGAGGAUGAAGGUUCUCGGAUUGUAAACCCCUUUUUUUAGAGAAGAUAAUGACGGUAUCUAACGAAUAAGCACCGGCUAACUCCGUGCCAGUAGCCGCGGUGAUACGGAGGGUGCAGGCGUUACUCGGAAUCACCGGGCGUAAAGAGGGCGUAGGCGGGAUAGCAAGUCAGAUGUGAAAUCCUAUGGCUUAACCAUAGAACUGCAUUUGAAACUGUUAUUCUAGAGUAUGGGAGAGGUAGGUGGAAUUCUUGGUGUAGGGGUAAAAUCCGUAGAGAUCAAGAAGAAUACUCAUUGCGAAGGCGACCUGCUAGAACAUAACUGACGCUGAUGCGCGAAAGCGUGGGGAGCAAACAGGAUUAGAUACCCCUGUAGUC